GGACUACACGGGUUUCUAAUCCUGUUUGAUCCCCACGCUUUCGCGCCUCAGCGUCAGUAUUAAGCCAGGUGACUGCCUUCGCCAUUGACGUUCCUUCCGAUCUCUACGCAUUUCACCGCUACACCGGAAAUUCCGUCACCCUCUCUUAUACUCUAGUCAUAUCGUUUGGCAUGCACUUCCCAGGUUAAGCCCGGGGCUUUCACAUCCCACUCAUAUCACCGCCUACGCGCCCUUUACGCCCAGUAAAUCCGAUUAACGCUCGCACCCUCUGUAUUACCGCGGCUGCUGGCAC
Molecule: ribosomal RNA, 292 nt
Filed under: uncultured bacterium
Lineage: Bacteria
Description: partial 16S ribosomal RNA
Source: RNAcentral